AACUUCCAUAUUGACUGACCACCCACCUGUGCUACAUGAAAUGGUUUCGUCCACUAAUACGUUUACCUUGCUUCCUAGCUGUAGCUGUCAGUCGGCAGUUAUGCCAGUACCUACUAAAAUAAUAUCUGAGAGUGAAAAAAGAAUGGAAGUCCAGGGUGUACCACACCUCUUACCUGGAGUCAGCUAGGCUCCAGCAUACGCGCAUCCCUGAUUUAACAACAGAUGAGCCAGCAGCAGUUCUCUCUCCCCAUACUUUACCCCUCUCUGUCCAAGUGAAGAAGGUGAGCAACACUGUGUCCAAUGGCAUGUAAACAGUAUUAUUACAGGGAGUCUGUGGGAAUUACAAAAAAUAAGAAAGCAGAUAAACAGAAUAUUUUUUUUAGUUAGAGCAUAGAAAACCUUUCCAAAUAUGAUUUCUCACCAUUAGGGCCCUCUAGACAUGAAAUACCACCGUUUUAUAUUCCUUUUAGCCAAUGUAGUAGUUAUAAUCAGAGAAAAAAAUCAAUUUAAGACAUAAAUAAUACUCAUGCUCUUGUGUGUUUCAAUAAAUGUGUUCUGGAUGUGUGGACAGGAAGUGAUGUCAGGGAUUCAGAGAUUAAUUUUAGUAGGGUCACAACAGUUGCCUGUGUUAUUAUUAUAAUGAUGAUGACUGCUAGUGACUCAUGUACAUCUUUUACAUUUAUUUGCGUGAGAGACACAAAGAGGUAAUGAUGUGACUACAAUAGAAGAGAGCAUGUAUGAUGGAGUUUUAAGCAGACAAAAAGGCUACAAGGUGGCACUAGUGCAUUUUAUAAGAGCACGCCCUGCAUCUUUCCCACUGAAAUCCAAGCUCUGCAGCAACCAGGAAGUGAAAAGGAAUCAUGCCAUGUUCCGCAAAGGAGGUUACGAAGGGAAAUUUUAACACAUGCACAUGUGAGAGUCUUCUUUUGGUAUAUACUGUGUCUUUUUACCCAAGAACACAAUAUUCUAUGUGCCUUGAAAAAUCAUCAAAAACGGCUGGGAUUGUGCCUGUUCUAAGAGAAAUAAUUCCAAACUAAUGCAAGUCUCUUGUUGCUGAUCAAGCCUGGUGACACCUAGUGGCCAGUAGUAGACAAAGCAGGGAUUAUUUCUGAAUAAAUCUUUGAAAAACUGAAAGACUGAGGGAGUGAUGUGUGAACCGCAAUGGAGCGAGGGUGUCUCCUUAGGACAGAGGUAGGGAACCUAUGGCUCGGGAGCCAGGUAGGGCUCUUUUGAUGACUGUAUCUGGCUCUCAAGCAUUUACCACAAUAAAAAUGUAUGUUUGCUAACAUUUUAAAGUAAACAUGACAGAAAUCACUGUUAAAAAUAAUAUUAAAAAUCAAAACUUUCUUAUGCAUUUUAAUUCGUCCAUCUAUUUUCUACUGCAAUAUGGCCGACCAUAUCCAUCUUUCCUAAUGAUAUGUUCCAGGUCAAACACCAAAACUUGAUUAUUACUGGGUAAUGCGGUAGUCUACCUCGGUCAUUGAGAUGUCAAAAAAACAUGUAAAUGUAAACUUUCCUCCUUUAGUCAAAUAGUCACCUAGCUAAAGCUGCAGAACCAAGCCUUUUGACGAAGAUGGCCAAAAGAAUGAAAUACGUGUACUGAAUACGGUUCAAAACUAUGCAGCAGCAGAAGUUGCAUUAAUGGCAGCAAGUAUUUGAUUUAUUAUUAGACACUGCGCUGCUCACGAAAGUGUGCUGGCCACACCCCAUUGGCGUGGGGUAGUGUGCCUGGUCUACAUAAUUAGAGCCCAUUAUAUCUAAAACUGCUGGUCUUACAUACAAAUGCACACAUUUUAUUGCAUUCAAUGUUUAAAAAAAUGUAUAUGGCUCUCACAGAUACACAUUUUAAAAUAUCUGGCCUUCAUGGCUCUCUUAGCCAAAAAGGUUCCCGACCCCUGCCUUAGGACUAGCUGUUUCACCCUUCAGGUUAUAAUACAGGAGUCUUAAAGGUGCUUCCUUAGGGUGUAAAUAAAUAAGAAUCACAUCAAUCUAUGUGUUUUCAGCACACAGGCAAAAUACCCUCAUAAGCCAAAGAAGAUGUGGUUUACAUCUGCAAGUGUAUGUUAUCAUGGUGAAUUAUUCAAAAGAAUCUCAGCCAUGCCCACAUGCAGCUGCAAGAGGCAGUCACAUCAUCAUCAUCAUCAUCUAUCAGGAGACAUCAGGCUUGCAUUCGACAACAAUUGCUCACGUCCAUGUCUUCACUUUCACUGCAAUGAGCUUGUUUCUCGCUACCAAUAUUGCCAGGCAUCAAUCUCAGCCACAUGAAAUAUUCAUGUGUUUUAUCAUGAUUUGAGUGUUGUGGCAUUGACGAGCAGCUACAUACCUGGUACUACUAUUGGUGUUUUCUUAAAAGUGCAUUAGGGAACAAUGCUGUCAUGGUAAAAUGAUUUGAGGGAAAUCUGGUGUCAAAGUUGUCAUAUUGAAAGAAAUGGGUACAGGGCUUAGAAAGGGAGCUACAGGCCUAUUGUGCUGCCUGUUCAUUAUUUUUAAGAGAAGAUGAGAGACGAAACACCCUAAAAGAAGUAACUUUGUCACCUAUUGUAAUAUUUGCAGCACAUAAUCAACACUGAUACAUUGUGACGAAUAAGAAUUGUCAUUAUUGUUACCAAUAUGGCACCUCUAAGUGGACAUUGAGGUAUUGCGCCUUUAGCCACUAGGUGGUGUUGUGGUUCUUUAAUGACAACCUCUAAACACCCGAUUCGUCCCCCCAGACAGGUUAUUGGCUGCAUCACGGAAAAAUCUGAAUUAAAUACUCAAAAAUUAAUAAACAUAAUAAAAAUGUACAUUUAAAUGAUGAUGGUUUAAUGUUUUGGGGGGAUGAAACGUUCAUAAGCAGCAAAGAGGAGGAGACGGCUGCUGAGGUCAGUGGAGUGAUGAGGAGGAGAGCUGAGCAUAGAGAGGAAAAACAUGCAUAGGAAAUGUUGAAGUAUGGUGCCAUUUUUGGUUUAUUAUCUUAUAAGACAGCACAGCUGUUGUGUAAUGUACGGUGUGUCUUUCCUUCAUCAGGAAGAGAAUCUGUGGUAAGGUCAAAGGUCCAUGCAGACAGUCUAAUAAUAGCCAUAACGUGUGAUAAUGAUGUCUUACUCUCGCCCUCUUGGCACAUACGCUCUCUGUCCAAAUGGAGCAUGUCACAUCUUCCUCCUCUCUCACACCACCUACAUGUUCCCCCUUAUCUCCGCUACCCUCUCCUUCCUUUUAAUCAUCUCACGGCUUUCAACUUUUGCAGAACAAUGUCUUUGGAAAGGCAAAGUGUAACACAGCUCCUGUAGAUCUCAUGACAUUGUGUACCAAAUAACCUGGAACUCAUAGCUUACAACAGGGGUGUCCAAAGUGCGACACAGGGGCCAGUUGCAGCACACGGCUGUUGUUUUAUUGGCCUGCAGCACAUUCUAAAGCUAUAAUUUCAUUGGAAAAGUAAAAAAACAGCAUUCAUGGAAAAUCAGCAGUAGCUUUUACAAGACAAAAUUUAAAAAAAGAUAAAAAAUAACAUGAACAACAACGUAAUAUUAUGAGGAAAAUAACAUCAUUUUGGGAGCAUAUCAUUUACAUUUUAAAGAAAAAGGUUAUUUAAAAAAAUCACAACACUAUGAAAAACUAACUAAACAACAAAUAAAGUUGUAACAAAAUUUACAAUAUUAUGGUACAACAAAGUCUUUAUAUUAUGAAAAGUGAGAUACAAUGAAUGAGGUGCCAAUCAAAAUUUCAUAGUUCAGCGAUCAUUAGGUAGCAGUGAUGUAAAUUCUGCCUCUUUUUAGAGAACCGUUUCUAUUGGUUCAGUGGACUUUGUGAAUUACUAAAUGUGAAAAAAUACACAAUAUCACACUAUUUCAAUUGAUAUUUUAAUCCUCAAUGAACAUUCUAAUGUCCUAUUUAGAAAACACCAAAACAAAGACCUGUCUUUUCGCGUGCAAAUUUCCAACUAUUUACAAUCAAACAACACAAAACAAAAAGAAAAAACAGCAAUCAUGUAACACUGGCAUUAAUAAAAACAAAACAAGUGCCUCAGCUUUGAGGGCUGAUCCUGUUCCUCUUUUCUGUGGAAACACAAUGAAUAAACUUGGUACUUGGUUUCAUUUAAAUUUGGUCAUCACAUCUUCAAAAUAAAAUAAUAGUAAUAUUUUAUCUUGGCCAGCACCUGUCAAAGUCUAGACAGCGUAAUAAUUCCAUCCGGACUCGCCUCCAGCCUAUUGGUGAUCAACAUAAUAGGACCAUUAUUGUCAAGGAUUUACAAGCAGUUGGAAUUCUGUGAGGCUUCAGAGGUAAGUUGGUAAGAGGUAACGUCUUCGUAGUGAUGUUGUCAGGUCUAAGUUGAGAGCUGUUUUGUUUAUGUCAUGUUGGUAGAAAAGUUGACCGACUUUUCGGCUUAUAGCUGCAACCAUUAACAAUACACGUGCGAGACAUGAUUCAUAACCUAGCGUUAACUUUUCAAAACUAACAGUUACCAGCACACCAGUAUUUAGCGUUGCUAGGUAGCCUGCGGCAUCGUGAGUGACAGGAGAGACAUCACUCACAACACCUAUAGCGAAGCGUUGUGUUAAAUAUACAGUAGUAUUUUAUGUUAGCUGCUACAAUAACAAUAUCGCUGUAGCUCGGUUAAUAUACAGAUCAGUUACGUAAAGGAACACUGUUGGCAUUUUUUUGUUACGGCUUUAGCGUCAGAAUAGUUGCAUCCAAAUGGCAUGCAUUGUUAGCUAGCUCAUAUUAAGUACUUUUCUGGCAUUCAUAAUGCACAGAAAAGGGAAAUAAAUACAAUAUGUAGCAAGACUCAUCUUAAUUUUGCCAGAAAACAUUGUGAUGAUUCCCAAAAUACUAAUUUGAUGAGCCUGAACUCCGCAUUUCAGAAAAAGAACAUCAUACCAACAGUAAAAUAUGGUGGUAGUAGUGUGAUGGUCUGCUGUUUUGCUGUUUCAGGACCUGGAAGACUUGCUCUGAUAAAUGGAACCAUGAAUUCUGCUGUGUACCAAAAAAAUCAUCAAGGAGCAUGUCCGGUGACCUUGAGGUCUGUUGGUGACCCCAAGCUAAAACAAACUUGGGUUCUGCAGCAGGACAAUGAUCCAAAACACACCAGCAAGUCCACCUCUGAAUGGCUGAAGAAAAACAAAAUGAAGACUAAGCUACCAUAAAAAUACUUGCCUAAAUUUGAAGGCUUACUGUCAGCAACUGGCAGUGACAGUGAGCAACAUGUGCUCUUGAAUUGCUCUUCUUCAAGGUCACAGACUGUACCUGCUCUCUGGACAAAUCAUUAGGUACACCUGUCUUUACUCCUCCCCUCUAUCACCAGGCUCAGUCAGUCUCUUUCUACUUUCUAGUGGUUUCUAUCAUUCUGUCAUCCUCCGCUGGAUCUCUGUUUCCAUCUGACGCUCCCUCCGGCUCGCAUCCAUCACAACACCUUCAUCCCCACGGCCUGCACACACACACACGCGCACACACAAUAAUCCAUCAGGCUCACAGUGUCCACUUGGACACACAAAGGUCUCCAGCAAUGUGUUGCUCCAUCACUCAUUCGCUUAGCUGCCUUACUUUAGAGACGAGUCGCUGCGCUGCAGCUUCAUUACCAUGGCAACAGCAUCCUCCAUCAAUAACCAGUGGACAGAGCUGAUGUUGCUGGGAAGGGAAAAGAUGGGUGAACAUGAAGUCCUAGUGCAUUUCAAGUUCUUGGAGUGACUGCACCCGAUGUUAGAUUCACCAGGUUGCAGCGUGGAGGUUCAAUAUGUUGCAGAAUGCAGCAGGGAGUCGCUUCUGAAAACAAGCAUUAAAAAAACAAGCAUGUUGGGAAGAAAAUAGAGACGAUCUUCCAGUCAGUAGGAAUAUUGGAGACGAAAAACAUCUCAUUCUGCAGAGUUCUUCACGGUGUCACGCCAACUCUAGUUUUCCAUGCAUCUGUUGUCUGUUGUGUCGCAGCCAAACUCUUAAAUUCAACAUGAUGAACCUCAGUUAGACCCAGAAAGACAAAUGAAUAAAUGAGCGAGGAAAGAAUAAACAAUGUCAAGUGCUGUCAGGAAGCGGAGAACACCUCAGUCAUUCGUCAGACUUUAGCAGGCUACGUUUUGUUUUGGGUAAACGCCACAUUCCCCCAAGGCCUGCCGCUGAUGAAAUAUGAAUACGUCCACACAGGAGCGCUUUAAUAUUGAUGUUGUUUGCUGCAGGCCUUGUUGGAUGUUCUAGUGCAAGCUUUCCAGAUGCAUUUAGCAUAUAGUUUAAAUGCAAUCAGCUGUAAUUGGCAAAACAUUUGAAUAUACUUACACAAUAUUUACAUUUUUGGGGGUUUGACUCUACAUCUGCCAAAAUUAAUCUAUUAAUUGACACUUAAUCAACUACCCAAUUAAUCGACAACUGUUUUGGUCAUCGAGUAAACAUGUCAAUAUUUAAAUACGUAAAUGUCCACAUCAGAGACACAUGAUGAAAUUAGCCAAAUACAUACAGGUGUACGCCACUACAUGAGUGGCUAUAAAAGUGUGAGUAAAAUGAUGCCAAACAUACACUUGACAAUGGCUUUAGCCUUGCUAGAGGACAUCCCAAAUGGUGCCAUUAGAAGACAGCGUGUAUUCACCACUCCAGAUGAACCGAUGCCAUUCGGGCCAGACAACGUGUGCUUUCCGCCAAGAGGCCAGGACACAUAAUUCACUCAGUAAUCAGUACAUCGAAUGUUUAAUUUAUGUCUGUGAGAACACAUCAGUUGCUCCAGGUGAUCAUUGAUGCCACGGAUUCCCCUCACAAGUCCUUCUUGCGUCUCCCAACACAGCAAGGAUGACGAUGCGGACGGUUGGGUCAACAUCUGCAGGUGGCGGUUGCUACGCACUGGAGCGUCUGAUACCGGAGGUACCAGGGACACUGGAAUCCCCUGGGCCUGAGACACUGCUUCAACCCUGCACCCCUGUGAGCACGGCCCCAUCCCAUCACGGCAGCCUCUCUCUGUCGGAUGGGGUGAAUUGGCGCUCUUCUUUCCUUCCAACUGUUUUGGCCACCCUUCUCCACUGGACUUCCACCUUGGGAUGUGACCACUUCCUUUUUUAUGUCUGGAGGUGUCCCCACAGCAUUAACUGCCUCAUAUACUUGGCCCUCAUGCCAGAAGACAAUGAACCAAAAAGCUAAUUUUUACGUGCCUCGACCUCAUUGAGGAGCUCCAUCUCAUAGUUGGUGAAAUUCCUCUUCUUUCCUAAACGAUGCAUUUUGUUUUAUGAUCCAAAAGACAGCAGAAACGGACAUGCUGGGUAUAUUUAUACGAACUAGCAUAUUUAAAUGUGAGCGUGACGAGGGAGGAGUCUGCUUAAGUCCACGUAGAUUGGGAUUACAAAGGAAAUGUGCUUGGAUUCGUGCUUAGGCAUGGUUUUAUGCAUCUCUCCAAUUUGUGCGUUUUAAGUGUGCGGCAUGCUUCAAUAGGAAAUCCAUGGAAGUCGUUGUGCAUCAGGCCCCUGGUGUUUCUGCACUUAUUUGCUCUGUCGGUUCCAAUCUCCUGGUUCUGAAUGAAGAAACGGAAAUUCAAAAUGUGAUUCAUUGAUUAAUCCAAAAUAAAUAACGGACCAAUUUAUCAGUUAUUAAAAUGAUUGGUAGUUAGAGCCCUAUUUGACAGAAACAUUCCGUUUCCAAAAAUUGAGUUUGAAUGUUUGUAUAUUUAGGACUUUUUCCACAAUGACACAAAUGUGCUCCUUCCACAUGACCAUUAAACAUUGUCACUGCUUUUUACACAAAAUGAAUAUUUGUAGGGUUUAAACAUGGCAAAAUCCAAAAAUGUGGUCCAUCCCAUUAGAAGUGAUACAUGCUUUAUGUUGGAUCUGUCAUGUUCUUUAAAAGUACUCCAACACCAUCUCCACCUUAGCCACGUCUGCGACCCUCUGCCAAGCUGACAUCUCUUGUCUGAUUCACAGCAUGGCUUCAAGGCUUUACAAACAGCAGCUUUUCUUCUUCUUCAUCCCCAAUCAAGCCAGUCGGCGGCAGCCCAGCCUCCAGAAAACUCUUUGGUGGUCCUCUUUGACCCUGUGGUGUGCUCACGCUUUCUGCUCCCUUCAUGGCCAUUCAAGUGGAGCAAACACGCACCCGGAGCCAAGCAAGCAUCCUGAAGCGUUGUUAUGUUUUGGAAGAGUCCAGAGGAUCAUGCUGCCAGAGGAGUUUGGCCAGCAUGCAAUCAUCUAAUUGCAUUGAGAGCUUCUCACCUCUUGUCUCAUUCGCACCUGGAAGGCGUGCUAUUUGUCCUGUGUGGCUGACUUAUUUAUUACUCACAUGUAGGAAAUUAAAAGUGUCUGAGCUCCUUUCUUCCAGUUACACUCUCAAAGUGUUGGAGGUUAAAGGUCGGAUACACACGUGAACCAAAUCGCUGCCUUUUGCCAGCAGACAAAAGGAACUCGCUUUGCCUUGCACCUGCGAUGGCGAGGGUGCCGCAGUGGAGUGUCGAAUGCAUUCAUUUUACAUUUUUGGAGCCACUUCAGCGCCACCUGCUGCCGCUUAAAUCCUUGAUUUCCCAUGACUCCUUGUGGCUGCUCCCACCCAGCUGCGUCUGGAGGAAAAAGGCAGCAAUGAAGAGGUUUGCUAGACAGAUCUCUAAAAAAGAUACAUGUAUAAAAGACAGGCUUGUACGGCAUUAGCGAGGCAAGCUUGGAAUUGACUUAUGUGUACAUAUGGAACGACAGGUACCCUUAACGCAGGCAUACAGCAUGAGCGGUGUUUUCAAGAGGGCUUAUGUGAAGCUUUGAAAGGUUACGCACAGUUUGCAGCAAAAAAAAAAAAAAGCUCUAAAAGAUGUGAACUUGCUGCUAGUUUGUUGGGAGACCAUGUAAUUAUGACAAUAUGGAGCCUUAAUCCCCAGAGCGUGCAGAUGGAAUGAUAAUAACACGGCUAAAUGUGUCCUCUGUCAUCUUAAACUGUGUGCUGAAGCUGAUAAGGAGUGACACUUAAAUCACAUUUGACUGCAGUUCUAACUCUCCACCUUGCUGUCACACUGAUCAAAUAAAACAGGCACAACAUCAGCUACGACAUCUUGUCUUAAUAUUUCUCAGGAUUAUCAUCAUAGACAUUUGUAGGACAUCUUUAAAUGGUAAAGGUGUACCUAAUGAGGUGACCAGUUGCUGACCAAAAUAAUAACUAAGAUACAAUAUGUAGGUUAUGUAUUGUUUGUCAUCAGGCUACGGUAGUAUGCAGGAAAGCAAGGCUGUGUGGGUGUCCAUAGGGCAGCCUGGGGGCCAUUUAUAAUUUAACAGGGAAAACAAAAAAGGGAGAUUUUACAAGAAUUAUUUCACUGAAAAAAGUUGAACAAAGAGUACUCCAGUUUGCAUCUUUCAUUCUAUCAUGUGACAUGAUCAUCUUGCAAUCAAGGAACAGAUGUCGAACAUCAUUCCUUGAUCACAAACCAGAAGUGCUGACAUCAUCCAAAUUGAGUCAAACAGAUUUAUUAUUUGAAUUUUAUUUAAAUAUUUGGAAAAUGGUUCAAUUCCACCCUCGGCCAUCUCUGUGUGGAGUUUGCAUGUUCUCCCCGUGCAUGCGUGGGUUUUCCUCCCACAUUCCAAAAACAUGCUAGGUUAAUUAGCGACUCCAAAUUGUCCAUAGGUGUGAAUGUGAGUGUGAAUGGUUGUUUGUCUAUAUGUGCCCUGUGAUUGGCUGGCGACCAGUCAAGGGUGUACCCCGCCUCUUGCCCAAAGACAGCUGGGAUGAAUGAAUAUUUGGAAAAUAUGAGGUAAAAAAAAGAGCAAAGACUGACGUUCAUACUAAUAAAACACUUUUUCACCUGUAUCACAAAGCUGAGAUGCAGAGUUCUGCUGAAAUAUAUAAAAUAUUUAGAAUAUCAGCAUGUGGUGCUUAAAGAAAUAUCAGUAUGUAGCACACACUGGAAAAAGUUUGGACACCCCUGAUCUAGCAGGAAGUAGGAGUUGUUAAGUAUGUCAGUGUAAGCUACAGGCGGAAUUAUGACAUGUGCCCUCCAUAUACAUAAAACGGUAAAGGUGUCGCUCCAUUGCGCCCCCUGUGGGUUGGGGUCAAAGUGCUUUGUAGUAGUCCAGAUAUACUCCUAUGUACUUCUAGACAAUGAAGUCCCACCUGUUCCCCUGCAAUGAUGUUUUGCUUGCGCUGGUCAUGUUUUUCCAAUUAUACCAAAUUGUGUCCCAAAUGUUAUGAUGAUAUGCCUAAAGUUACAGAGGGAUUUUUGUUAGCUUGAAGAAAUACCUCCAUUACUAUUACAGGUGCUAGGAAUAAGGUGGACCUGCAUGUUAAUAUGGAUAUUCAUCACAGGGGGCGCUCUCACCCCAGGCUGUCCAUGACUCCAGGCUAACUUGCGUCACUUCUUUGAAUUGAAAGGCCCAUUCCAUUCCGUGUGUGUGCACCAUUGUUCCUCCUCCGUCACUGGUCGAAGCAGAGAUGAUAAACUCCCUCCCAGACGGCAUCCUUUUGGCCUAAAUUUGCUUGUUGCCACGGAAACAACAGCAUACUGCUCUUAAAGUGGAGGUGAUCCCCCCCCAAAAAAAGACACGUGAUGAUGAUCGCUGUGUGUCUUCUGACGCACGUGGCAGCAAACUUCUCUCAUCCCUCGUCAUCCUCCCUAAUUCCUUCAUUCCCGUCUCAGCUGUGUGAGGCAGUUGGCAAUGCUUUGCUUCCUUUGCCGAUGCAGUCAAUCCUCCCUGUGUGUGUGCGUUCUUCACUUUCACUUGUUUCUCUUCACUGCGGUGCUUUGAUUUAAACCGGAAAGCUCGGAGCAAAGAGGUCUCGCACACAUACACAACAAAGUGAAUCAGAAGACUACAUGUUAACGCCCUAACUGGCACCCGGGGCGAAACCACUGUUACAACCUAAUGAGACGACACACACACACACACACAGUCUGUCUCUUUAGGGAACAUCAGAAGAGUCUGACAGCAAAGGGGUCCCGAGGCAACAGGAAAGGAUCCACGUCCUUGGUGGCCGCUGGUCAUUCAUUAGCCGCAGUUGAGAUGAUCCUAAUUGAACUUGCUGACUCACAUCCAGCAAUGCUUCCCUAAAGUGUGCGACAAGUGCUUGGUGACCAGCGUGGGCGUUCCAGCAGAUGUGCAUCCAAGUGAUGUUAAUGUUAGGUUGGGACUUACCCCCUAGCAAGGAUAUCAUGUACAUAUCGUACACCGGCGUGUUAUUCUACCAAGAACCACUCUGUUCUUUUCAUGCCCAACACGCUGAAGCCAGGCUAAACUUUGGGAAGCGAUAGAACAACAUGGAAGGAAUAAUAUCUGGAGAGCGAAUGCUCCUGCAGCUUGUGACGGCUCUACUUCUCUCCGGCACUGACUGUUGCAAUUGUUCUGUAUCUACUCCUUUUUCUAGUAAAUUGGAGUUUCCCAGACUCAUUUCACAGCUGCUUAGAACAAAAGAACCCAGGAGGCCCAGUAAAAGGACCACUCGCUCCCACCAAUUUCUUGUGCUAUCAUGCAAUACAACA
Molecule: non-coding RNA, 11386 nt
Organism: Doryrhamphus excisus (bluestripe pipefish)
Lineage: Eukaryota; Metazoa; Chordata; Actinopteri; Syngnathiformes; Syngnathidae
Source: RefSeq, a predicted model, not a curated record